RNAcentral lists this ribosomal RNA (481 nucleotides) under uncultured bacterium. RNAcentral describes it as "bacterial SSU rRNA". It matches the Rfam family "Bacterial small subunit ribosomal RNA", at positions 17 to 518 of the family's 1533-position model. The record is from RNAcentral.
UCCUGGCUCAGGACGAACGCUGGCGGCGUGCUUCAUACAUGCAAGUCGAACGAGAAGUCACCUUCGGGUGAUGGAAAGUGGCGGACGGGUGAGUAAUGUGUAGAGAAUCUGCCCUUUAGUGGGGGACAACAGUUGGAAACGACUGCUAAUACCCCAUAUGCGCGUAGCUGAGAUGCUAUUCGUGAAAACUCCGGUGCUAAAGGAUGAGUCUGCAUCUGAUUAGCUAGUUGGCGGUGUAAUGGACCACCAAGGCGACGAUCAGUAGCUGGUUUGAGAGGAUGAUCAGCCACAAUGGGACUGAGACACGGCCCAUACUCCUACGGGAGGCAGCAGUAGGGAAUUUUGCGCAAUGGGGGAAACCCUGACGCAAGCAACGCCGCGUGAUUGAAUAAGCCCUUCGGGGUGUAAAGAUCUGUCAGUAGGGACGAAACUUGACGGUACCUACAGAGGAAGCAUCGGCUAACUCCGUGCCAGCCGCUGC